Molecule: long non-coding RNA, 1353 nt
Filed under: Coturnix japonica (Japanese quail)
Lineage: Eukaryota; Metazoa; Chordata; Aves; Galliformes; Phasianidae
Description: lncRNA (ENSCJPG00005016892.1)
Source: RNAcentral
AUGACAAAGGCAGCUUUCACGGGUGGAGAGCAGGUCAGCCGUCCUCAAAACAUCUCGCACACCCUGGUGGGUCCCCAAGUGUCACUCAGCCUGAAGGAAGUUGUCCAUCAAAGCCGGGGAGGCUGUGGGAAUACCUGCAGGGCAGGAGGUGGCAAAAGACCGGUCUCUUUCAUCUUUAUGCCAAGCUCAGAGACUCUCCACAGAGAAGAACUGAACCUGAGAGCUGCCUACCCCCAGAGAGAUCAUUUCAUGAACAUGAAGGAAAUGAAGCCCAGCCUGGUGGAGGAAGGUCCCAAACUUGAAAUAGGAAGCUGCUUACAGAAGUCAAGAGAUGGUGAUACACGGACCUGCCACGCACCCAACCAUAAAGACCUCCAAAAGCUAAGAAGCUCACUCAUAACCCUUAGCCCUUGGUUGAGCUUACAGUGCCUUUCCCUGAUCUCACAGAUGUUUCCUCAAGGAGGUGAGGUUCAGAAGGGAUGCAAGAGCUUCUUGCUGUACUGGAGUGAAAGGAAAGGCAGUGGCAGAAAACUAGCACUAAUUGAUCCUAAAAAAAGGAGUAGUAAUCACAAUCCAGUCAAAGAAAAAGAUUUGCUUACCUAUCCCAAGGAUCAGAGCCAGCCAAACACUCCAAAGGAGAGAUCCUCAGGUAGAGAUCCUUACCCAGAGGCAGCCAGCCCUCAAAUAAGGCUUAGGAAGGAGGGGAACCAGGUUCCACCCCUUCUGGUUGCAUUGGUGAAUUGCUUUCACCUGUGCUCCCAGAGCUGGCUGUGUUACUCUACCAGGUGCUCAAUCAUUGGUUCAGGCCAUGACUUAGUAAUUCCCAUACAUGGGGUCGAGUCCAAGGACAUAACCUGACCUGGGGCUACCAUGGCUGGAUAUCCAACCUGAACAUCCCCUGGCACAACUUAUGGCCAUUUCCUGAAGAGAGCAAAGGCAGGAAGCACUCAAACCCAGCCUGGCAUUUUUGUGUGUUUUGCCCUGAAGUCUGCAAUCCCAACCCAAGGAUGCUGAAGAAAUGGCUGCACCUGAGCCCUUAUUCCUGAGACCCUGCACCUGAGUGUGCGGAUAUGCAUCUGUGCGUGUGUGCCAUGCACAGAAACUUCUGCAGCAAUGCUAAUGGCAUGGAGAAAAGCCAUUAAAAGGAGGAAGAGUUGAGGUUACAGUAUUGUGCUGAAAACUUUAUUGCUGCCUGUAGAGACAUCAGGUCUGUACUUCCAGGAUUACUCAGUGCUUAGUGCCGAGUGCCUGCACAUUAGUUUUGCCGGGAAGCCCAUUUGGGGUUCUUCCAAAAUGGAAAAAUUAAAGGGCUUCCCUAAUAAAAGUGCUCUCCUAAAAAAAAUAAAUAACUAA